UACGAGAGGUUCAAACGUUAAUCGGAAUUAUUGGGCGUAAAGAGCUCGUAGGCGGUUUGUCGCGUCUGCCGUGAAAGUCCGGGGCUCAACUCCGGAUCUGCGGUGGGUACGGGCAGACUAGAGUGAUGUAGGGGAGACUGGAAUUCCUGGUGUAGCGGUGAAAUGCGCAGAUAUCAGGAGGAACACCGAUGGCGAAGGCAGGUCUCUGGGCAUUAACUGACGCUGAGGAGCGAAAGCAUGGGGAGCGAACAGG
This 253-nucleotide ribosomal RNA is filed under the name uncultured bacterium. Its description in RNAcentral is "partial 16S ribosomal RNA". It matches the Rfam family "Bacterial small subunit ribosomal RNA", at positions 524 to 776 of the family's 1533-position model. The record is from RNAcentral.